AACGAACGCUGGCGGCGUGCUUAACACAUGCAAGUCGAACGGAAAGGCCCUGCUUUUGUGGGGUGCUCGAGUGGCGAACGGGUGAGUAACACGUGAGUAACCUGCCCUUGACUUUGGGAUAACUUCAGGAAACUGGGGCUAAUACCGGAUAGGAGCUCCUGCUGCAUGGUGGGGGUUGGAAAGUUUCGGCGGUUGGGGUUGGACUCGCGGCUUAUCAGCUUGUUGGUGGGGUAGUGGCUUACCAAGGCUUUGACGGGUAGCCGGCCUGAGAGGGUGACCGGCCACAUUGGGACUGAGAUACGGCCCAGACUCCUACGGGAGGCAGCAGUGGGGAAUAUUGCACAAUGGGCGGAAGCCUGAUGCAGCAACGCCGCGUGCGGGAUGACGGCCUUCGGGUUGUAAACCGCUUUCGCCUGUGACGAAGCGUGAGUGACGGUAAUGGGUAAAGAAGCACCGGCUAACUACGUG
This 468-nucleotide ribosomal RNA is filed under the name uncultured bacterium. RNAcentral's name for it is "partial 16S ribosomal RNA". It matches the Rfam family "Bacterial small subunit ribosomal RNA", at positions 28 to 507 of the family's 1533-position model. The record is from RNAcentral.